UAAUGUACAUUGGAUUUUAAAGUAGGUAUACUUGCGGAUAAUGACGCAAUUCAGCAUACAUAAUAUCAUAUUGAUUUGUCGAACUUGCAGCCACACAAACAUAAGCCGAUUAGACAUCAAAUGCGAGUAGGUACUUACCAAUCAAUCUAAUCGUUCCAACUCGUUAUAAAUGUAAAAAAUAUGAUUCUGUGCGAUAAAAAUUAAUUUAAAACA
This is a non-coding RNA of Cinara cedri, 213 nucleotides long. The record is from the annotation of a GenBank genome assembly. Lineage: Eukaryota; Metazoa; Arthropoda; Insecta; Hemiptera; Aphididae.